AGUUACCGCUCUAUAACCCUUUGUGAACAUACCUAUAACUGUUGCUUCGGCGGGUAGGGUCUCCGCGACCCUCCCGGCCUCCCGCCUCCGGGCGGGUCGGCGCCCGCCGGAGGAUAACCAAACUCUGAUUUAACGACGUUUCUUCUGAGUGGUACAAGCAAAUAAUCAAAACUUUUAACAACGGAUCUCUUGGUUCUGGCAUCGAUGAAGAACGCAGCGAAAUGCGAUAAGUAAUGUGAAUUGCAGAAUUCAGUGAAUCAUCGAAUCUUUGAACGCACAUUGCGCCCGCCAGCAUUCUGGCGGGCAUGCCUGUUCGAGCGUCAUUUCAACCCUCAAGCUCUGCUUGGUGUUGGGGCCCUACAGCUGAUGUAGGCCCUCAAAGGUAGUGGCGGACCCUCCCGGAGCCUCCUUUGCGUAGUAACUUUACGUCUCGCACUGGGAUCCGGAGGGACUCUUGCCGUAAAACCCCCCAAUUUUCCAAAGGUUGACCUCGGAUCAGGUAGGAAUACCCGCUGAACUUAA
RNAcentral lists this ribosomal RNA (522 nucleotides) under Colletotrichum sp. RNAcentral describes it as "eukaryotic LSU rRNA". The stretch from base 170 to 323 matches the Rfam family "5.8S ribosomal RNA". Lineage: Eukaryota; Fungi; Ascomycota; Sordariomycetes; Glomerellales; Glomerellaceae. The record is from RNAcentral. RNAcentral also lists the same sequence under 2 other names.